CCUACGGGAGGCAGCAGUGGGGGAUAUUGCACAAUGGGGGAAACCCUGAUGCAGCGACGCCGCGUGUGGGAAGACGGUCCUCUGGAUUGUAAACCACUGUCCCCAGGGACGAAGAUGACGGUACCUGGGGAGGAAGCUCUGGCUAACUACGUUCCAGCAGCCGCGGUAAUACGUAGGGAGCGAGCGUUGUCCGGAAUUACUGGGUGAAAAGGGAGCGUAGGCGGGACUGCAAGUUGGGUGUCAAAUCUACCGGCUCAACCGGUAGCCGCACUCAAAACUGCAGUUCUUGAGUGAAGUAGAGGCAGGCGGAAUUCCUAGUGUAGCGGUGAAAUGCGUAGAUAUUAGGAGGAACACCAGUGGCGAAGGCGGCCUGCUGGGCUUUUACUGACGCUGAGGCUCGAAAGUGUGGGGAGCAAACAGGAUUAGAUACCCCAGUAGUC
Molecule: ribosomal RNA, 440 nt
Filed under: uncultured bacterium
Lineage: Bacteria
Description: partial 16S ribosomal RNA
Rfam family: Bacterial small subunit ribosomal RNA
Source: RNAcentral